Molecule: long non-coding RNA, 601 nt
Organism: Saccostrea cuccullata (small rock oyster)
Lineage: Eukaryota; Metazoa; Mollusca; Bivalvia; Ostreida; Ostreidae
Exons: 5
Source: RefSeq, a predicted model, not a curated record
CCUGGCUUAUUCGGCUUGUCGGUUUCGUAUUCGUCACAGAAUCGGGAAAUAACUUUAAUUUUCGUCAUUCAAUUUUUUUUAUCUUGAAAAUCUAUUUCUGCGUUAAAGUCGAACUUUGAUGACAACGGUUAUAAAAUGUAAGUUACGGAACCAAAGGUAGUUUUACUAUGGAAUGCCGUACGUCACAUAUUACGUCAUCAUGCGGCUGAGAAAGCAGACAAGAAAGAGCAGAACGACUGCAUAUUUUCUGUAUUUGCUAGUAAUAAGCAGAUGGUACUCCAUUAUACUGCACUGAUAGCUUCUCAAAGAUUAUAAAAUUAAUAUGAUACAUGCAAACAGGCACAGUUAAAAUGUCAAUCAUCACAAGAUCAAACUUCAGUACCAGAGUAACCCUAAAUCAAUUAUCAUCCUGAUUUGUCAAAAGACUACAUAGAACAGUUUAGAGGUGGAAACUGAUAGAUCAUUUGAAGAAGAUCCUGUUAAAGUAGUCAUAAAUAUGUUUCACAAAACAAUGAACACCUUGUUACAGCAUCCUAUCUUGAACAGCCUAGAACAGAGAACAGUCUGGAGGUGGAAACUGAUGGAUCACUUGAAGAGGAAA